This 90-nucleotide transfer RNA is filed under the name Mucilaginibacter ginsenosidivorans. RNAcentral describes it as "tRNA-Leu". The record is from RNAcentral. Lineage: Bacteria; Pseudomonadati; Bacteroidota; Sphingobacteriia; Sphingobacteriales; Sphingobacteriaceae. RNAcentral also lists the same sequence under 1 other name.
GCACCAUAUGCUAUGGAAUUAAAAAAUCGAUUUAGAAUCGAUCAUGAAGUUGAACAAGUUACCUUAAUUGUGCAACGCAAUUACGGCUCA